This 76-nucleotide transfer RNA is filed under the name Deltaproteobacteria bacterium. Its description in RNAcentral is "tRNA-His". It matches the Rfam family "tRNA". Rfam says of the family: Transfer RNA (tRNA) molecules are approximately 80 nucleotides in length. RNAcentral also lists the same sequence under 2 other names. Lineage: Bacteria; Pseudomonadati; Myxococcota; Myxococcia. The record is from RNAcentral.
GUGAGUGUAGCUCAGAUGGUAGAGCACAGGAUUGUGGCUCCUGUGGCCGAGGGUUCGAUCCCCUUCACUCACCCCA